RNAcentral lists this unclassified non-coding RNA (387 nucleotides) under soil metagenome. RNAcentral's name for it is "partial contains 5.8S ribosomal RNA, internal transcribed spacer 2, and large subunit ribosomal RNA". The stretch from base 1 to 120 matches the Rfam family "5.8S ribosomal RNA", at positions 35 to 154 of the family's 154-position model. The record is from RNAcentral.
GAUGAAGAACGUAGCGAAAUGCGAUAAGUAAUGUGAAUUGCAGAAUUCAGUGAAUCAUCGAAUCUUUGAACGCACCUUGCACCCUUUGGCAUUCCGAAGGGUAUGCUCGUUUGAGUGUCAUUGUACUCUCACACUCUCCGAUCCUAUGGAUUCGGGGAGCGGUGGACUUGGGUGUUGCUGCCUUUCCCUGUGGCUCACCUCAAAUGCGUCAGUGCACCUCUUGGUUGGACAUAGUACGGCGUGAUAAGUGUCUUCGCCGGCGCCUCGCAAGAGGGUGGCCGAUCGGGAGCUCUGCGCUUUCAAACCGUCUUCGGACAAUUUCUGACAUCUUGACCUCAAAUCGAGUAGGACUACCCGCUGAACUUAAGCAUAUCAAUAAGCGGAGGA